UCCCAUGACAGCCAGUGAGCCCAGGUACUAUGGCAAAGGUUCUUUUGUUAAAGGCACUUCUACACACUCCAAACACCGAGGAGGAAGUUCAUAAACUCCCACAGAAGUCUGUUUGUUAUCCAGGAGGAAGGAAAAUAACAGAUGUGACUUAAAAAAUGAACCAGACCCUUUAUGAUGUUGAGUGCAGCACAGAGAGAGAAGGGCAGAUAAGAAGGGGAGAGAUGGAAUCACAACCUUUGUUAAAGGAGUCUUUGUGUCAGUGUACAGUAUAGUUUCAUUUGUAUCCCUGGCCCUCCCGGGAAGAGAGCAGAUAUAAUUCAGUUGGCGGACAGUUUAGUUCACUCUAAACAGUGUUCACUGCAUGUCCACCUGUGGAUUGGAAAGCAAGGACUGUUUCAUGUGACGGGAGAGAUCCUUGCCAAUGUGGAAUAUGUUGGGGGUUAACUAGCGCUUCUGUGAGAGGAAUUGUAUUGUGCUGCCGGGAGUUGCGUUCGUGCGCCCCGGGAAGAUUACAAAGAGGCGCUUUGUGAGGGGAUGCAGCUGCUGAAAUCCCACCAGAUCCAGCUGAAGAGAGAAGGGAGCAGACCCCCCCGGGGAGGAGUUUGAAGUGGUGUUCCCUGGACUCGGUUGAGUUUCCAGCCUGGUGUUGUUGUGUCUGGAGGCCGGAGCUUGGCAGGGCUGGAUGUGAGGCUGAAAUCGGAAUCGAAUGCUGAGCACUGCACACCCCAGGAGGACGUGGUUACUUUGCUCCUUUCAGAGACGGCGGCAAUGGGGGGGGAGGGGGGGGGGGGGGGGUUGAGGUGGUUGAGGUUUCUCUGUGUCUGGGACCAGGCUCCCUGCUUAGGGACAAGGGGAUUCAACCCCCUUCCUCCCUAUCCCUUCCUCCAGGCUGUCAGGAAGUCUACCAUUCUUCUCAUUGGUGGAGGUUUUCAGACAUCAGACUAUUUCAUCCGAAACGUUGGUUUAAAAUCCAACGACCAUAACGCUGCAGGGGAAUGAACGAUGGAUGUUAUUCUUGUGUCCCUGGGUGUCUUAUUGUGUUUCAUGUAAACAACUGCUUUUUAUUUGCAUGUUUUGCCCCUCUUGGCAUUAACAGAAAUGUUACAUAAAAACAAAUUAGGUCAACGGUUCAUGUUUCAGGUAUCAGGGUUUGUUGAGAACAUACCGUGUUGUGCGGUAAUUCUUUCCUUGUCUGUCGAGUAAAAAUCAGCCCCCCUUUGAUGACUCGUGUUUCCUGGGGAGGCAAGGGAGGGGGGUAGAGGUGUGGUUAGCCCUGGCAGCGUUGAGGGGGAAGCUGACACCUUACUGGGCUGCUACUGGGCCUCACUAGGGAGGCACUCUGCAACCUGUUGGGCCCCAUACACGCACGCACACAAACACAUACUCAGACACAUCCCACAUAUUCAUUUGUCACCCGAAAAAACACCUACACAGACGUAGAUACGUAAACGCACAUACCACGUCUUCACAUAAACACACACGCACACAAACACACACAGACCUACACGUAUACACACACAGACACACACACAGUCUCAUUACAGCAGGGUCCCCUACCAUGGUCAGGCUUGAGGUAGCAUGUAAUCUGUAUGUUUUAUUGGCCACUGGUUGGACACAGCUAAUAACUUCCUGAGGGAGCCCCCAGCGAGCCCCCCUCCCCCCACUCCCCACCCCUCCCCCUGCCCUCUCUCCUCUGUGACUGACUAACCGGCUCUCAGGUUAUGGGCUCAGACAAUUUCAGCCCUCUCUUCUAAACGUUUUUUUAUGACAUCGCAUUGGCAUAAAUGUGCUGUGUCCCUGCCCUAGCUUGUUUCACUAUGUUGAACCGUGAGAGAAGGAUUACAGACUUACAUAGUGUGAUAUUCAUUUUAUAUUAGAUUCCAUAAAACAUUUUCUUGUAAGUACAGCUUUGGUUUGAUGGUAUUUGCGGUCUGGUUUGGGGGAAUCAUCUCUUUCUCCAAGAUUCUGCUUCCUUUUUGAUGUCUCGCCAACCGACAGUGCAUCAGCAACGACAGCAUUUAUGAAAAUAUCCAAGUGCCUUCAUUUAAACAUCCUUCAAAUAAAACAUGUGUCCAAGAUUGAAUCUGAAUGACUAAUUGAAUGACUGUAUCAUGAUGUUCUCCUGAAAUUCAAUUAGAAAUACUGAAUGCACAGUAGAGAUGGACCAGAGGGUUGAGCCAAUAUCUUGCUCCUCCUCCUCCUCCUCCUCCUGCACAUCCACCCUCCCCUCCCUCUCGUUUCCCCAUCCACUUGAAUCCCUUCUUCCAACACCUAAUGCUCCUGUUUGUUCCCCAACGCCUUCUUUAACUCCUUCAUUUCUUCAUCUCCCUUGUGCGCCUCUCUUCCUCCAUCUCUCCUUUCCUCCUUUCCUCCUUCCUCAGCAACCCUCUCCUCCUCCUUCCUCCUCCUCCUCCUCCUCCUCUGAGUGUGUGACUCAAUUUUUUUCCAUUGUGCCCAGCUGGGACGAGAGAUGGUCAACACUUUACCAAUUAUGAGCGUAAUUGGGACUAAUAGAUUUAUCACACAUUCCUUCCUUGCUGACAAGCAGAUGUCUGAGUAUUGACGUGCUGGUGCUGUCAAUACACCGCAUGCCAGUCACAUCUCAUCUGAUCCACAGGUAUGUCUGGAAAAAGAAAAAUAUGAUCCAACUCAAUUUACACUUAAUCCUGUUUGGUCCCCAAAAAAUGAAAUACAUACACUACACAUUUUGUAUGGUUAAAUUAUAUUAGUUUUUAUCAUUGCUCAUGAAGAUUUCUUUAGAAGAAGUUCAUUUGAUAUUCAAAAUACAUCUGCUGAUCAACUUCUGGAUCCAGUUUCCAAAUGACACUACCUGACUGACUUCAUCAUAAGGAAAAUUUCUUAUGAGGCAUGCUGUUCUCAUAAAGAAUGUUCUUUCAAUCUUUUCAUACAGAUGCAUGAUUAUUGAUUCACAUUGAAGCAUCUAAACCUGUGUGGGAGGCUGUGGAUGUGUACUGUAGGUGUUUAUGAGAGCGUGGGUUUUUCUGCUGGAUCGUCUGGUAUGUUUAUACUGUGAAAACAUCAAUAAAGGAAUCAA
This is a long non-coding RNA of Hypomesus transpacificus, 3055 nucleotides long. RefSeq lists it as uncharacterized. The transcript is spliced from 3 exons. The record is from RefSeq and is a predicted model, not a curated record. Lineage: Eukaryota; Metazoa; Chordata; Actinopteri; Osmeriformes; Osmeridae.